AAAAGCAGUUAGCAGGCUUAUUGCAGCAAAGCAAAUCCAUUUGGUGCUUUACUGGGAUGGGAAGGGUUGAGGGAAUAUAGGUAUUUACAGGGCAAAAAGCUCCUUUACAAAGCUGGUUUGGGCUGGGGAAGAUGAUGAGCUUUUUGCCGUGUUUGUGGUUCUUCAAGAAAGUCAGCCUAGAUGCAGCCAGCCUAAAUUCCCAGCCUAAAUUCCCUGUUUGCUAGAGAAAAAGUGAUGGUGAGCUCAGCUGCUCAGGCAGCCUAAGGAAAGUACUGUGGAGGGAGCUGUCGGAGCCAGCCCACAAGGAGCACUAGGACUUGUAGGGAAAUGAGUCAGGCUGAACCAGGGCUUCAGAUGUUUACAGGAAACUGGUGUUAUUCUGUGGAAUUGUCCCUGAAGGGCUGGAAGCUUGCAAGCACUGCUUCCACCACAAAUGGCAUUGGCAGGGGCUCAUCUUUGGCUCCAGAGGAAGGCUGUGGACAGCUUGCACUGUGCAGGAGGAUGGAUCUGCAUGGGACUUUUCACAGGAACCAGCCCUGCUUGUGUUGCCAAACUUGGAUGGACUUUGACAAGUGUCGAUCCAGAGAAGCGUUUCUCAUUUCAGGCACUGCUUUGGGUUCGGGGAAUUGGGAUCCAUGUGAGGGAGAAUGUUAUUUGCACAGAACAACCUCAGAAAAAUGUCUAAAAAUUGACGAAAUAUGGAAAUGUUGUCAAAACAAACAAGCUGUCUGCUUGUAACCACAGCUGUACUUACCAGGCUCUUUUUCCAGCCCACUUAAACCUCUCCUUGCAGCUACAAUUAACAGAGUCCACAGAGCCAGAGCAGAAACCACAGCUCAGGAUGCUCUGCCAGUGCUGUCUCUACUGACACCUGUGUCUUCUGAGGUGGUUACGGAUUCCCUGCCAGCCUGGGUUUCAUCUCACCCAGCACAGUUUAUCUGAUCCAUUUUAGAUGCAGGCUUGAAGCGAAUUUUGGUGUUGGUGUGCUGUUUCCCUUCAGUGACUGUAGAAGGAUUGAGGCUUUGAUACAUGUAGAUAAACAUCUCUUUUGAGCCAGAUGAAUCCAAGCAGAAAUGCUGAUCCAUCCACCAGGCAUGAUGCUGGCCUGCAUCCCACAUCAGGCUCUCCUUGUCAUCGCUGGGUGAACUUCAGGAGCUCACAGCAUUUCUUCUCCAGGUCUUGGAGGGUCUCACCUUCAGCAGAAGUUCCUUAGGGUUGACUAAUAAAA
Anas platyrhynchos (mallard) is the source of this 1228-nucleotide long non-coding RNA. RefSeq lists it as uncharacterized. NCBI's taxonomy places the organism in Eukaryota, Metazoa, Chordata, Aves, Anseriformes, Anatidae. The record is from RefSeq and is a predicted model, not a curated record.